UACGUAGGGGGCAAGCGUUGUCCGGAAUCAUUGGGCGUAAAGCGCGUGUAGGCGGCUCGAUAAGUCUGCUGUGAAAGUCCAGGGCUCAACCCUGGGAUGCCGGUGGAUACUGUCGAGCUCGAGUCCGGAAGAGGCGAGUGGAACUCCUGGUGUAGCGGUGGAAUGCGCAGAUAUCAGGAAGAACACCAACGGCGAAGGCAGCUCGCUGGGACGGUACUGACGCUGAGACGCGAAAGCGUGGGGAGCGAACAGG
RNAcentral lists this ribosomal RNA (253 nucleotides) under uncultured bacterium. Its description in RNAcentral is "partial 16S ribosomal RNA". It matches the Rfam family "Bacterial small subunit ribosomal RNA", at positions 524 to 776 of the family's 1533-position model. The record is from RNAcentral.